Vombatus ursinus (common wombat) is the source of this 277-nucleotide unclassified non-coding RNA. It matches the Rfam family "Metazoan signal recognition particle RNA". From Rfam's summary of the family: The signal recognition particle (SRP) is a universally conserved ribonucleoprotein. It is involved in the co-translational targeting of proteins to membranes. The record is from Ensembl. Lineage: Eukaryota; Metazoa; Chordata; Mammalia; Diprotodontia; Vombatidae.
GCCAGGCAUGGUGGCACAUGCUUGUAAUCCAUGCUACCAGGGAGGCUGAAACUAAGGGAUCUCAUGAUCUAAGCUGCAGUGGGCUAUGCCAAUCAGAUGUCUCCACUAAGCUUGGAAUUAAUAUGGUGAGCCUCUGGGAACAGGGGGCCAUCAUAUUGCUUAAGGAGAGGAGAACUGGCCCAAAUGAGAACCAGAAGAGGUUAAAGCUCCCAUGCUAAUCAGAGUGUGAAUGGCCCAUGAGUAGCUGGCCCAGGGAGGGAGAGAAAGAAAGAAAAAU